Molecule: long non-coding RNA, 796 nt
Filed under: Phoenix dactylifera (date palm)
Lineage: Eukaryota; Viridiplantae; Streptophyta; Magnoliopsida; Arecales; Arecaceae
Description: long non-coding RNA (PDAC_LNC018155)
Source: RNAcentral
GGGUCUGUGAGAACCAGCCCAUAUACAGUGGGCUAAUGGGCCAAGUCCAACGUGGCCGGCCCAUCUGGAGACCCAGAGGCGGUGAUUGCCAGCUGAGGCGGUUACAACCGCCUGACACCACUCUCCUCUCUUCCGACCAAGGACUAUAAACACUCAUGGAUUCCUCAGUGUGGGACUCAAUGGACUACCCUCUCACUACCCCUCACUCUCUCCUCCUGCUACAAAGAACUGGAUCGGGAGCGGCGGCGCUGGAGGAGGAGGUAUCUCCACCUCAACACCGUCGCCGAAUCGCCGGAAGAAACAUCACAGCGCCGUUCUAGAGCUAGGUUAGUCUUGAUUUCUUCUUCCUUGUAUCAUUCAUACUUCAUUCAAGUAGGAUCUAGUCUAGCCGUGAAACAAAAAUCAAAAAGGGGAAAAUGAAAUAGAACAGAUCGAAGAGUGAAGAGAAGGAAGAAGAUGAGGAGGAGGAAAGGGGGAGAUUCAACCUGCAGUGUUCGGCCUCUGAGCCUACAUUGACACGAUCGGCCACGGUCGUGGCCCCGACCGUUGAUGGCCGAAGAUCCUUCUCCUCCCGAUCAUCUUCUUUCCUUAUUGGCCAAACCCUAACUGAGCAUAUCUAGAUUUGGUAGCGGAGAAUAUGGCCGCCGGUGGAGGGGUUCUCCUCCCCCUCUGCUGCAACAGACUCGGAGAACUGUUGGCUCGGCCGUAGCCGCCAUUGGUCUCGGCGAGGGUUGCGGCAAGGCCGAGGGGCUCUCCUCUCUCUUGGGUGACUGGUUUCAGAGACCUUGUUCCUCAG